GACUUUUUUUUUCUUUAAGCUUUUAUAUAAUGAAUGCAAAUUUCAUAGGUAUAACUUUAGGAAUAUAGUGGGUCUUCCCCCCCAUACCCACCCUCCCACCCCAAGUGACUGACUUCAGAAAAGAAGUAUGCUAGGGCAAAUUCUAGACAAAUGGUUGUCUUACUAGUUAGUGGGUGUUGCUGUGGAUUCGUUCUGAGAGGAGGAGCGUGGUGGGGGCAAGAGGUGCGGAGUCACCACACAGACCCCAGGUGUAAGGUGAAAGCGGGCCAGAGGUGAGCAGCCCACAGACUCGUUUAUUUCAGUUGGUAUAGCAGUUUACAUAGCCAAGGCAGCCAAUCUGGUCAAGGGGUGGUUUAUGCCCUAACCAAUCACAGCCUGUUGCCAGGCAGUAUCCGAAGCCAUCCAAUAACAGCCUAUUGCCAGGCAGGCUCCGUUGCCAGGUGGGUUUCGAAGCCAUUCCUGAGUAACUGACGCUUGCUUGUCAGCAGCCAUCUUGGCAUGGCCUUCUCAUUCCACCACAAGUGGGCACCCUGACUAAUGUAUUUUUGGUUAUUAUUUUUUAGGUCCACAGAAGUGAACGCUUGUGUGACCCUCUACCUCAGUGAGUGGCACCACUAACAAUCUGAGGUUAUUACACCUCUUUUCCCUUGAUAACUGCCCCUUCAGCAAUUGAAUAAUGCUGUUUGGCUUCUCAUUUGAGCAAGUGGCUCUUCAGCAGCUUUCAGCCGCGCCGGAAUCCAGAGCUAUACUCUGUGUGAUAAUUCCAGCCCCAGGGAAUAGCUUCGGAAAUAAGAGCUGUAGGGUUCUUCGUGAAUAAAUAAGCCAAGAAGGGAAAGGGGAUGCCGCAACUUGGAGAAACGGUUUACAAGUCGUCCUUCAGCAGAGAAACAAGUUCUUAAAUGGAAAUGAAGAAAGAAAACACCUGAAAGCGGAAAACAGCAAUAGAGCCAAAAAUUUCCAACAGGUAAGAAAGUGGGAAACAAACCUCUAAAAUGCUAACACAAACAAAAAACCCUUAAGAUUUGCAAAUGACCUUUUCAAAUGUGCAUCUCAUGUUAAAAAAGCAAGUCUUUAAAAUUUGUGAAGAUCAUUAAAAAGUGGAAUUUCAGUGUUUUGGGGCCUAAUUACUUCUGUUAUGUUUUCACUUAUGUGAUCUGAAAUCCCUACAGCUUUAUAAUUUUAAGAAAAUUAUCAAAAAACACCCCAAAUCUAUUAGCACAGUGGGGUUUUGAUUACUUUUAUCUGUUAGUAAAUAAAUUUUAAAAGAUUGUAUAAUUAUUUUCA
This 1284-nucleotide long non-coding RNA is filed under the name Oryctolagus cuniculus (rabbit). RNAcentral describes it as "lncRNA (ENSOCUG00000034141.1)". Lineage: Eukaryota; Metazoa; Chordata; Mammalia; Lagomorpha; Leporidae. The record is from RNAcentral.